UUGGCCUCAAAUCAGGGAGGACUACCCCCUGAACUUAAGCAUAUCAAUAAGCGGAGGGAA
Molecule: ribosomal RNA, 60 nt
Filed under: Auricularia polytricha
Lineage: Eukaryota; Fungi; Basidiomycota; Agaricomycetes; Auriculariales; Auriculariaceae
Description: partial 28S ribosomal RNA
Source: RNAcentral